CUCUGGGCUGCCAACAAAGGCUCAGGGCGGAAAGAG
RNAcentral lists this non-coding RNA (36 nucleotides) under unclassified sequences. The record is from RNAcentral.